RNAcentral lists this ribosomal RNA (253 nucleotides) under uncultured bacterium. RNAcentral's name for it is "partial 16S ribosomal RNA". It matches the Rfam family "Bacterial small subunit ribosomal RNA", at positions 524 to 775 of the family's 1533-position model. The record is from RNAcentral.
AACGUGGGAGACAAACGUUAUCCGGAGUUACUGGGCGUAAAGGGCGUGUAGGUGGUUUCGUAAGUCUGGCGUGAAAUUUUUCGGCUUAACCGGGAAAGGUCGUCGGAUACUGCGGAGCUAGAGGACGGUAGAGGCGUGUGGAAUUCCGGGGUGUAGUGGUGAAAUGCGUAGAGAUCCGGAGGAACACCAGUGGCGAAGGCGACACGCUGGGCCGUACCUGACACUGAUGCGCGACAGCAUGGGGAGCAACAGG